Non-coding RNA from Mycena rosella, 101 nucleotides. The record is from the annotation of a GenBank genome assembly. NCBI's taxonomy places the organism in Eukaryota, Fungi, Basidiomycota, Agaricomycetes, Agaricales, Mycenaceae.
GGCUCGGUGGCACAGUGGUGCAGUGCAUCCGCCAGAUGUGGACAGUUUUCCUGGAGAUACAAUAUCUGCGGAAGGUGCCCGUUCGACUCGGGCCCGGGCCA